AAUGUGAUUUGCCUAAAAGCAAAUGAACGAGAGAUAGAACUCAAAGAAUGCGUUCUUUGAGAGACAAGAAAGUAAUCAACAAAUAUAACAAUCUAGUUCCUAUACCAAAAGCUCCAAGGUAGUCGAGAAGGAUUUAUAAACCGUCUCAGUUGAAUGGUUUUGAACUUUAUGACUAUGUCAUAGAGUUACACCUCUUAAUUCGAAAGAAAUAAGAAAGAAAAUCCUUUUGACUACAUUGAGUGUAUAUAUGAUAUAUAUACUCAAGGAAAUGGUAAAGUACCAUUUGACCCGAAAUAAUGAAACCUUCAUAAGCUAAUUGGUAGCUUAAGGUGACUUACAAUCAAAGAAAAUGGUUGACUUUGAAGAAACCAUCUUUGAGAUAGUCUUGGUUUCAAUUAAUUCGAAAAUUGCUAGCUACAACUAAAUGGUGAUUCAAUGUUUGGACAUAAUAUGGGUUUCCGAAACCAUUAUUAAGAUAGUCUUGAUAAUAUAUGUCUAAAACUAUAAAUCACAACAUAUGUAAGUUGUAGAGAUCCAUCCAUCGUGGAUCUUAGCAAGCUAGUGGGAGCUAUUUGCAUCUUAUGAGAAAAAGAUCAAAUCGUUUGAUUUCUCAUAAAGAUGUAAAUGAAUCUUUUGUUUACUAGGUUUACAAAAGAUUAGUGGGAGUUAAUCAUGUUCCUAAAAAUUUAAAAUAUAUAUGAUAUAUUAAUUUUGGAAAUGAAAAGAAUACUUCUUCGUUAAAGUUAUGACUUUAAUACAUUCUAUGAAACGAUAGAAUGUAUAUGGGAGAUAUAGUCUAUAUACAUGGGAAUGGAAAUCUAUAAUUGAUAGAUUUUAGGAUAUAAUUGGAUUAUAUCAAUCCCUAAUAAUAGACAAGAGAUGCU
RNAcentral lists this long non-coding RNA (884 nucleotides) under Malus domestica (apple). RNAcentral's name for it is "long non-coding RNA (MDOM_LNC012576)". Lineage: Eukaryota; Viridiplantae; Streptophyta; Magnoliopsida; Rosales; Rosaceae. The record is from RNAcentral.